RNAcentral lists this ribosomal RNA (255 nucleotides) under uncultured bacterium. RNAcentral's name for it is "partial 16S ribosomal RNA". It matches the Rfam family "Bacterial small subunit ribosomal RNA", at positions 524 to 776 of the family's 1533-position model. The record is from RNAcentral.
UACGUAGGGCGCAAGCGUUUAUCCGGAAUUAUUGGGCGUAAAGAGCUCGUAGGCGGUUUGUCGCGUCUGCCGUGAAAGUCCGGGGCUCAACUCCGGAUCUGCGGUGGGUACGGGGCAGACUAGAGUGAUGUAGGGGAGACUGGAAUUCCUGGUAUAGCGGUGAAAUGCGCAGAUAUCAGGAGGAACACCGAUGGCGAAGGCAGGUCUCUGGGCAUUAACUGACGCUGAGGAGCGAAAGCCAGGGGAGCAAACGGG